GACAGAGGGUGCAAACGUUGUUCGGAAUUACUGGGCGUAAAGCGCGUGUAGGCGGUCAUGCAAGUCGGGUGUGAAAGCCCAGGGCUCAACCCUGGAAGUGCAUUCGAUACUGCGUGACUCGAGUCCCGGAGAGGAUGGUGGAACUCUCGGUGUAGAGGUGAAAUUCGUAGAUAUCGAGAAGAACACCGGUGGCGAAGGCGGCAUCCUGGACCGACAUUGACGCUGAGGCGCGGAAAGCCAGGGGAGCAAACGGG
Molecule: ribosomal RNA, 254 nt
Filed under: uncultured bacterium
Lineage: Bacteria
Description: partial 16S ribosomal RNA
Rfam family: Bacterial small subunit ribosomal RNA
Source: RNAcentral